CGGCUAAGCCGUCGGGUGGAUGCCUUGGCUCGGGCGCCGAGGAAGGCCGUGGCAAGCUGCGAUAAGCCCGGGCGAGGCGCAUGCAGCCGUGGAACCCGGGAUCGCCGAAUGGGACCUCUCGCCGGGGCCGAAAGGUCCCGGCACUCCGGGGGGAAACCCCGGGCCCUCGUGGCCCGGGGGAGUACCCCCGGAGGGGGAACCCGCCGAACUGAAACAUCUUAGUAGGCGGAGGAAAAGAAAGCAACACGCGAUGCCGUGAGUAGGGGCGACCGAAAACGGCAGAGGGCAAACUGAACACCCGCCCGAAAGGGCGGGUGGAUGUGGGGUUGCAGGCCCGGGCCGCCUAUGUGGCCGUCUCCCCCGGAACGGCCGAAGUGCCCUGGAACGGGCCGCCGGAGAGGGUGACAGCCCCGUAGGCCGCCGGGGGACGGCCGCUGGCCCGGGCCUGAGUACCGUCGGUUGGAUAUCCGGCGGGAAUCUGGGGGACAUCGGCCCCCAACCCUAAAUACGUCCCGAGUCCGAUAGCGAACAAGUACCGUGAGGGAAAGGUGAAAAGNNNNNNNNNNNNNNNNNNNNNNNNNNNNNNNNNNNNNNNNNNNNNNNNNNNNNNNNNNNNNNGGAAAGGUGAAAAGAACCCCGGAAGGGGAGUGAAAAGAGCCUGAAACCCGACGGCGAUAGUCUGCCGGGGCCCGCAAGGGAUGAAGCCCCCCGAAGGAAACCCCGGUGACGGGGGAGUACGAGGGGGGCCGACCGGGGUCCCGGCGUUCGUUUUGAAACACGAGGCGGGGAGUCCGCGGCCGCGGCGAGUCUAAGGGGUUCAAACCCCGAAGGCGUAGGGAAACCGACACGCCCGCAGCCCGGCCGUUAGGCCGGGCCAGGGGCGGGGUCCUAAUAGGGCCCGCAGCCGCGGCCGCGGGACCCGAAACCGGCCGAUCUAGCCCGGGGCAGGGUGAAGCGGCCCUAAAGGGCCGUGGAGGCCCGCUAGGGGUGCUGUAGUGCAAAACGCUCCCGUGACCCCGGGCUAGGGGUGAAAGGCCAAUCGAGGCCGGAGACAGCUGGUUCCCCCCGAAACGGCCCGCAGGUCGGCCCGGCCGGAGGUAGGUGGCGGGGUAGAGCACUGAUUCCCCGGUUAGGGGCCGAGAGGCCCCGCCGGGGAGUCAAACUCCGAACCCGCCACCGCCGUAGAAGGCCGGAGUUGGGGCCGGCGGGUAAGCCGCCGGUCUGAGAGGGGAAUAACCCAGACCGGGGUUAAGGCCCCAAAGUGCCGGCUAAGUGUUAAAUAGAAAGGGAGUCCCCGGCCGAAGACAGCGGGGAGGUAGGCUUAGAAGCAGCCAUCCUUUAAAGAGUGCGUAACAGCUCACCCGUCGAGGUCGGGGGCCCCGAAAAUGGACGGGGCUGAAGCCGGCCGCCGAGACCCCGGGGCCGCGGGCCGAUGGCCCGCGGGCCGGUAGGGGGGCGCCCCGGCGGCUCAGAAGCCGGGCCGUGAGGUCCGGUGGAGCCGUCGGGGACGAGAAUCCCGCCGGUAGUAGCAGCAAAGCGGGGUGAGAAUCCCCGCCGCCGGAGGGGCCAGGGUUCCUCGGCAAUGUUCGUCAGCCGAGGGUAAGUCGGCCCUAAGGCCGGCGGUAACACCGACCGGCCGAAAGGGAAACGGGUUAAUAUUCCCGUACCGCGGGGGUACGCCCGGCAACGGGAAGCCCGGCGGCCGACGCCUCGGGGUAGGCCGGGCGGGGCUGUCGCCCCGUCCAACCGGUGAAGGCCGGGGAGUCCCGUAAUGGGGAGAACCGGCCGAAGCCGGGAAGGGCCGCCCGUUAUGGGCGGUCCGGCCGAUCCCCGGGGCCCGUGAAAAGGCCGCCGGGAAGGAUCCCCCGCGACCGUACCGAGAACCGACACAGGUGCCCCUGGGUGAGAAGCCUAAGGCGCGGCGGGGUAACCCGGCCGAGGGAAAUCGGCAAAUUGGCCCCGUAACUUCGGGAGAAGGGGUGCCCGCGGCCCUGACCCCGAGGGUCGAACCUCGGGGGAGGGGCCGCGGGUCGCAGUGACUAGGGGGGGCCGACUGUUUAAUAAAAACAUAGGUCCCGGCUAGCCCGAAAGGGCUGGUACCGGGGCCGACGCCUGCCCAGUGCCGGUACGUGAAGCCCGGGUACAACCGGGUGAAGCGCCGGUAAACGGCGGGGGUAACUAUAACCCUCUUAAGGUAGCGAAAUGCCUUGCCGGUUAAGUACCGGCUUGCAUGAAUGGCGUAACGAGCCCCCCACUGUCCCCGGCCGGGACCCGGUGAACCCGCCAUCCCCGUGCAGAGGCGGGGGACCCCCGGCGGGAAGCGAAGACCCCGUGGAGCUUUACCGCAGCCUGCCGUUGGGGCACGGCUGCGGGUGUAUAGCGUAGGUGGGAGCCGUUACUCAGGGGCGGCCGCCAGGCCGUCCCCGAGGCGCCCAUGGAACACCACCCUCCCGCGGCUGUGCCCCUAACCCGGGCCGAGAAGGCCCGGGGACAGCGGUUGGUGGGCGGUUUGGCUGGGGCGGCACGCCCCCGAGAAGGCAUCGGGGGCGCCCAAAGGUCGGCUCAGGCGGGNNNNNNNNNNNNNNNNNNNNNNNNNNNNNNNNNNNNNNNNNNNNNNNNNNNNNNNNNNNNNNNNNNNNNNNNNNNNNNNNNNNAAUCCGCCGUAGAGUGCAAGGGCAAAAGCCGGCCUGACUGGGUCCCGCACAAUAAGGGACCCAGGCGGGAAACCGUGGCCUAGCGAACCCCGGUGCCGCCCCGGUGGCGGCCCGGGAUGACAGAAAAGCUACCCCGGGGAUAACAGGGUGGUCGCGGGCAAGAGCCCACAUCGACCCCGCGGCUUGCUACCUCGAUGUCGGCUCUCCCCAUCCUGGCGGUGCAGCAGCCGCCAAGGGUGGGGUUGUUCGCCCAUUAAAGGGGAACGUGAGCUGGGUUUAGACCGUCGUGAGACAGGUCGGUCGCUAUCUGCCGGGGGUGUUGGCCGCCUGAGGGGAAGGACCGCCUAGUACGAGAGGAACGGCGGUCCGCGGCCUCUGGUGGACCGGCUGUCCGGCAGGGCAAGCCGGGUAGCUACGCCGUAUCCGAUAAGGGCUGAAAGCAUCCAGGCCCGAAGCGGUCCCCGAAAAUAGGCGGCCGUUGAGGCCUCGGGUAAAAGACCCGGUUGAUGGGGCGGGGGUGUAAGGCCCAAGGGGCCGUUGGGCC
Molecule: ribosomal RNA, 3198 nt
Filed under: Methanopyrus kandleri
Lineage: Archaea; Methanobacteriati; Methanobacteriota; Methanopyri; Methanopyrales; Methanopyraceae
Description: 23S ribosomal RNA
Rfam family: Archaeal large subunit ribosomal RNA
Source: RNAcentral